CGCAUCUGUGCAUGCAGCAUAUCAAUAAGCGGAGGAAAAGAAACUAACAAGGAUUCCCUCAGUAACGGCGAGUGAAGCGGGAAGAGCUCAAAUUUGAAAUCUUGAAAGGUCACCUUUCACGAAUUGUAGUUUAAAGAAGUGUUUUCUGUUACGAUCGUAAUAUAAGUUCUUUGGAAUAGGACAUCACAGAGGGUGAGAAUCCCGUCUAUGAUUGCGAUUUGUAGCUUUGUGAUACACUUUCAAAGAGUCGGGUUGUUUGGGAAUGUAGCCCAAAACGGGAGGUAAAUUUCUUCUAAGGCUAAAUAUUGGCGAGAGACCGAUAGCGAACAAGUACCGUGAGGGAAAGAUGAGAAGAACUUUGAAAAGAGAGUUAAACAGUACGUGAAAUUGUCAAAAGGGAAGCGUUUAACACCAGUGUUGUUUUCUGAAAAUCAACCUCUGUUAGCUUUAUGCAUGUUUGUUUAGACCUAAUCAGCUAUCUUGCAUGUUCUAUUGUUUGCAGUGGUGCACUUUUCAGUUUACAGGUCAACAUCAGUUUUUUUUACCGUAAAAAAGUUAAAGAAAGGUAGCUCAUGGCUCCGGUCGUGAGUGUUAUAGUCUUUUUCCUAUGCGGUAGGAGAGACUGAGGUCUGCAGUGUAGGCUAUUUGGCUAGAUACUCAGGUGCUAUGUGAUACCAUUUCAUAAACAACUUGUUGAUUAUGUUUUGUCUAUUGCAUACUCGCUUGUACUAUCAUACCUACGCUUAGGAUGUUGAAGUCAUCGUAUCGCGC
This 771-nucleotide ribosomal RNA is filed under the name uncultured Neocallimastigales. RNAcentral's name for it is "partial large subunit ribosomal RNA". It matches the Rfam family "Eukaryotic large subunit ribosomal RNA", at positions 26 to 645 of the family's 3401-position model. Lineage: Eukaryota; Fungi; Neocallimastigomycota; Neocallimastigomycetes; Neocallimastigales. The record is from RNAcentral.